RNAcentral lists this ribosomal RNA (253 nucleotides) under uncultured bacterium. Its description in RNAcentral is "partial 16S ribosomal RNA". It matches the Rfam family "Bacterial small subunit ribosomal RNA", at positions 524 to 776 of the family's 1533-position model. RNAcentral also lists the same sequence under 1 other name. The record is from RNAcentral.
UACGUAGGUGGCGAGCGUUGUCCGGAAUUAUUGGGCGUAAAGCGCGCGUAGGCGGGAUAGUCAGUCUGUUGUAAAAGUGCGGGGCUCAACCCCGUAAGGUCAAUGGAAACUGCUAUUCUUGAGUGCAGGAGAGGAAAGUGGAAUUCCCAGUGUAGCGGUGAAAUGCGUAGAUAUUGGGAGGAACACCAGUGGCGAAGGCGACUUUCUGGACUGUGUCUGACGCUGAGGCGCGAAAGCCAGGGGAGCGAACGGG